UUGGGACUACGGGGCGCAGCAGUGAGGAAUAUUGGUCAAUGGGAGAGAUCCUGAACCAGCCACGCCUCGUGAAGGAAGACGGCCCUAUGGGUUGUAAACCUCUUUUGUCGGAGAACAAAACCCGGGACGUGUCCCGGACUGCGUGUAUCCGAAGAAAAAGCAUCGGCUAAAUCCGUGCCAGCAGCCGCGGUAAUACGGAGGAUGCGAGCGUUAUCCGGAUUUAUUGGGUUUAAAGGGUGCGUAGGCGGUCCGUUAAGCCAGCGGUAAAAUUGCGGGGCUCAACCCC
Molecule: ribosomal RNA, 286 nt
Filed under: uncultured bacterium
Lineage: Bacteria
Description: partial 16S ribosomal RNA
Rfam family: Bacterial small subunit ribosomal RNA
Source: RNAcentral